ACGACCUUUUGGCCAACUGUUGCGUGGUAGACAGUUGUCGACUAUUACUACUGUAUCACCCACCUGAAGCGGCCGCACGUGUUCAAACCACUUCGAUCGACGGGUCAGCAUAGGAAGAUAUUCGGCUAUCCAUCUCUUCCAGAACAAGUCGGCAAAGUGCUGAGCGGCUCGCCAGGCUGAUUUCACGACGGCGCCACCCUCCGUAAAUACCGCGGGCGGCUUCGAUCCGUCGGAGCUUCCAAGCAGUAGAUGGUUUGGCGUCAGCGGGGUGUCCAUCUCGUCGUCCAGUGCAUCCGCCGAAGUGUGGUGCAGCCGGUGGGUUGAAGCUCCACUUCAUAUCCGGGCCGGUGAAUUCGGUCAUCAGCGCGUCAACGUCAACAGCUUGAAAUGCCUCUUCCAGUUCACGUGCCGAACCGACGAAAUUCGCUCCUCUGUCGCUGAUCAUCUCCAACGGUUUUCCACGUCUUGCCACAAAACGUCGAAUCGCCAUGAUACAGGAUGCCGUGGUCAGCGAAUGAGCCAUCUCCAGGUGCAUAGCUCGGGACGUCAGACAGGGUUACGUGGCGUUUCAAGGCUGCAGCUUUAUUACACGGCAGGCGGAUGUCGUCGUAUUUCCAUAGUAGUCCUGUUUCGAACCUGUCACCCUGCAGCUUCGUUUCCUUGGUAAGUAUCGCCAGCGCUCGUUCAUCGUCCUUGGAUUUGAGUGGAUGCGGAGAUUUAGUGAUACCGAGCGUAUCCAGGGAGAAGAAUGCCUUGACCUCCACCGUCAGCAGAUAGUCGUUGCUUGUCUCGCAACUGCAAACGUGAAAACUUCUGUAUCCUCCAGACGCGUUAGCGGUUGCGAUUGGACAAGGGAUUUGCUUAAUCUACAGUUGUCGACGCCAAUUAGAAGUCGAGGUACAGCAUGUGUGUAAGAGGCUAACGGCAAACCUUUCAGGUGUGGGUACGCUGCUUCCAAUUGUUGCACAUCAAUCGAUUGUGAGGGUAACGCUAGAUUGGUAACGGUGUGUACCUUAGCCAGAUCGUGUACGGAGGCUCCUUUGUACGCACCAGAGAUCUGCACCGCUAACUGAACAGAGGCCUUUUCAUCUCUGGUUGUAUCUCCUGUCCACUUGAGACACAACGGCCGGGACGUACCACUCAAACCCAACUCUUUCAUCAGACUGUGGUCCAUGAAGGUUGACGAUGAUCCUUCGUCGAGAAACGCGAAAGUGUGAACCACUUUGCCGUCUUUACCACGUACUAUUACCGGCACAUAACGGAACAGGGUCCGAUCGUUUGAGCCGGAGUGCGUUAAACAGUGUUUCUCCGCCGCGUUACCAGUACUCAAGGCCCCGUGAAGCAGCUUAUGAUGCAUCGCCUCGCACCCGUUCACAGCACAAUGCGUUUUAAGCUACCGUCCUCUUGAGGAAACGUUGGCAAUCGACUAGUGCGGCACACUCUCCCUGGCAUGCGGAACAUUUAGGAGUAGAAAGAGUGUACUUACCGCUCGAGGCUGUAGCGUGCAUGUUCACGUGCGUAGUCGUCGGAUGACGCUGCUCUGGUCGUGACGGUUUACCACCGCGUCGGCGAUCUGUGUCUGACGGUCCGUCAGGUCUUACGGGAACCACUCUACUGAGAGCCUCUGCUAGAUCGCUGAUCCACCUUCCAAACUCCGUCAAAGUUACGCUAGGUAAGCGCUGCUGAUACCUCGCCCACUCGAUGCAAGUCGUCGACGGCAAUUUCGAUACCAGCUCCUUCAUCAGGACUACGUUGCAUGUGUAUUCGGGCAGCCCAGACGCCCUGAUGGUCGCACACAUGUUUCGUACCGCGAAUCCAAAGUCGGCCAAGGUCUCCAGUCUAUCAGCUCUUGGUGCAGGCAUGCUCCUCACUUUCUGUAUCAACGCGUCCACAAUCACAUCAGGUCUACCGAAGCGCAGCUUGAGUGUGGCUAUAGCUUCCUUCAAUCCCGAUGGCAGCAACAGCAACGAGCUUACCGCUUCCAACGCAGCUCCUUUCAACGCCUUCUGCAACCUCAUCAGAUUUUCAUCGUCGGAAUAUCCGCAGACUGCUGUCGAGUGCUCGUAGCUAGCAAUAAAGAGUGGCCACUGUU
Anopheles moucheti is the source of this 2092-nucleotide long non-coding RNA. RefSeq lists it as uncharacterized. The record is from RefSeq and is a predicted model, not a curated record. The transcript is spliced from 5 exons. Lineage: Eukaryota; Metazoa; Arthropoda; Insecta; Diptera; Culicidae.